ACGGAGGAUCCAAGCGUUAUCCGGAUUUAUUGGGUUUAAAGGGUGCGCAGGCGGAUUGAUAAGUCAGAGGUGAAAGCCCACAGCUCAACUGUGGAACUGACUUUGAUACUGUCAAUCUUGAGUACAUUUGAAGUGGGCGGAAUGUGUUGUGUAGCGGUGAAAUGCUUAGAUAUUACGCGGAACACCGAUGGCGAAGGCAGCUUACUGAGCUGUAACUGACGCUGAGGCACGAAAGCGUGGGGAUCAAACAG
This 251-nucleotide ribosomal RNA is filed under the name uncultured prokaryote. Its description in RNAcentral is "partial 16S rRNA". It matches the Rfam family "Bacterial small subunit ribosomal RNA", at positions 525 to 775 of the family's 1533-position model. The record is from RNAcentral.